AGAGUUUGAUCCUGGCUCAGAUUGAACGCUGGCGGCAUGCCUUACACAUGCAAGUCGAACGGCAGCACGGGAGCAAUCCUGGUGGCGAGUGGCGAACGGGUGAGUAAUAUAUCGGAACGUGCCCAGUCGUGGGGGAUAACGUAGCGAAAGCUACGCUAAUACCGCAUACGCCCUACGGGGGAAAGCGGGGGAUCUUCGGACCUCGCGUUAUUGGAUUGGCCUAUGUCUGAUUAGCUAGUUGGUGAGGUAAAGGCUCACCAAGGCGACGAUCAGUAGCUGGUCUGAGAGGAUGAUCAGCCACACUGGAACUGAGACACGGUCCAGACUCCUACGGGAGGCAGCAGUGGGGAAUUUUGGACAAUGGGCGAAAGCCUGAUCCAGCCAUUCCGCGUGAGUGAAGAAGGCCUUCGGG
This 412-nucleotide ribosomal RNA is filed under the name uncultured bacterium. RNAcentral describes it as "bacterial SSU rRNA". It matches the Rfam family "Bacterial small subunit ribosomal RNA", at positions 8 to 422 of the family's 1533-position model. The record is from RNAcentral.